GGGCCCUUAGCUCAGUUGGUUAGAGCACUCGGCUCAUAACCGAUCGGUCACAGGUUCGAGUCCUGUAGGGCCCA
RNAcentral lists this transfer RNA (74 nucleotides) under Paenibacillus antibioticophila. Its description in RNAcentral is "tRNA-Met". It matches the Rfam family "tRNA". From Rfam's summary of the family: Transfer RNA (tRNA) molecules are approximately 80 nucleotides in length. Their secondary structure includes four short double-helical elements and three loops (D, anti-codon, and T loops). Lineage: Bacteria; Bacillati; Bacillota; Bacilli; Caryophanales; Paenibacillaceae. RNAcentral also lists the same sequence under 2 other names. The record is from RNAcentral.